GAGGAAAGGUUAAGUUUUAAUAGAGCUUAGCUGUUGACGUUCCUUACAGAAGAAGCACCGGCUAACUCCGUGCCAGCAGCCGCGGUAAUACGGAGGGUGCGAGCGUUAAUCGGAAUUACUGGGCGUAAAGCGUACGCAGGCGGUUUGUUAAGCGAGAUGUGAAAGCCCCGGGCUCAACCUGGGAACUGCAUUUCGAACUGGCAAACUAGAGUGUGAUAGAGGGUGGUAGAAUUUCAGGUGUAGCGGUGAAAUGCGUAGAGAUCUGAAGGAAUACCGAUGGCGAAGGCAGCCACCUGGGUCAACACUGACGCUCAUGUACGAAAGCGUGGGGAGCAAACAGGAUUAGAUACCCUGGUAGUCCACGCCGUAAACGAUGUCUACUAGAAGCUCGGAUCCUCUGAUCUGUUUUUCAAAGCUAACGCAUUAAGUAGACCGCCUGGGGAGUACGGCCGCAAGGUUAAAACUCAAAUGAAUUGACGGGGGCCCGCACAAGCGGUGGAGCAUGUGGUUUAAUUCGAUGCAACGCCAAGAACCUUACCUACACUUGACAUACAGAGAACUUACUAGAGAUAGUUUGGUGCCUCCGGGAACUCUGAUACAGGUGCUGCAUGG
This 612-nucleotide ribosomal RNA is filed under the name Pseudoalteromonas sp. AP35. RNAcentral's name for it is "bacterial SSU rRNA". It matches the Rfam family "Bacterial small subunit ribosomal RNA", at positions 441 to 1048 of the family's 1533-position model. The record is from RNAcentral. Lineage: Bacteria; Pseudomonadati; Pseudomonadota; Gammaproteobacteria; Alteromonadales; Pseudoalteromonadaceae.